RNAcentral lists this unclassified non-coding RNA (253 nucleotides) under uncultured Anaerolineae bacterium. Its description in RNAcentral is "contains 16S-23S intergenic spacer region". It matches the Rfam family "Bacterial small subunit ribosomal RNA", at positions 524 to 776 of the family's 1533-position model. Lineage: Bacteria; Bacillati; Chloroflexota; Anaerolineae. The record is from RNAcentral.
UACGUAGGUGGCGAACGUUAUCCGGAAUUACUGGGCGUAAAGGGUCCGCAGGCGGAACUGAAGGUCUGGCGUGAAAGCUCCCGGCUUAACCGGGAGAGGCCGCUGGAAACCACAGAUCUUGAAUCACCCAGAGGUCGGCGGAAUUCCCGGUGUAGUGGUGGAAUGCGUAGAGAUCGGGAGGAACCUCGAAAGCGAAGGCAGCCGGCUGGGGGAUGAUUGACGCUGAGGGACGAAAGCGUGGGGAGCGAACAGG